GGAAUAAACUAUGCCUCUGGGAAAGAAAUGCAUUGCAUGGAUACACUUUGUGAAGGUAAACACACAGAGGCAUUCUGCUUUCUGUUAAUUAAUGACAGUGACGACAAGUUUUUAUAGGAAACCAAUUUUGCUUUUGAACACCAGGGAGAUCUUUGAGCAUAAGAAAUAUUUCAAUUUAGGAAAAUUAUAGCACAGCCAAAAGCCCAAAUGUAACAGGUGAAUUAUUCUCGAAGCUAAAGACAACUCUGAAAGUUGGGAUUUGUUCCAGCAUUUUCCCAGGAGGUGGAAUUCAGAUGCAUGGGCUGGGACUGUGGGA
RNAcentral lists this long non-coding RNA (316 nucleotides) under Homo sapiens (human). Its description in RNAcentral is "HSALNT0030448". The record is from RNAcentral. Lineage: Eukaryota; Metazoa; Chordata; Mammalia; Primates; Hominidae.